GCACAAAUUCUAGCCUUUAUGCCUCCUAUGUUAACCCAAAAUUAACUGAACCUUUAUAAAACAUUUUACCUAUUGAGUAGAGGAGAUCGAAAAAUAAAUAAGCGCUUCAGAUACAGUACCGCAAGGGAAAGAUGAAAUAUAAAUGAAAUAAAAUUUAAGCACUAAAAAGUAGAGAUAUACACUCGUACCUUUUGCAUCAUGGUCUAGCAAGUCCAACCAAGCAAAACGAACUUAAAGUUUGACCCCCCGAAACUGAAUGAGCUACUUCGAAACAGCUGUAAGAGCCAACCCGUCUCUGUAGCAAAAGAGUGGGAUGAUUUCCAAGUAGCGGUGAUAAGCCUACCGAACUCAGAGAUAGCUGGUUGCUUAAGAAAAGAAUCUUAGUUCUGCCUUAAGUCUCCCCAAUAAACAAAAACUUAUUCUAGACUUAAGAGUUACUCAAAUAAGGCACAGCUUAUUUGAAACAGGAUACAACCUUAGAUACCGGGUAAUUUUUUAUCGUUUGUAACAAGUGGGCCUAAAAGCAGCCACCUUUUAAAAAGCGUUAAAGCUUUGUACAUAUGAUUCCCUAAUGUCAAUAUAAACUCAAAACCCUUUAAUAAUAUUAAGCAACUCCAUAUACUUAUGGAAGCUAUUAUGCUAGAACUAGUAACAAGAAAUUGAAUUUCUCCAAAAUGUAAGCUUAAGCCACAAUUGACACCCUAUCGGCAAUUAACGUUCAUGAAACAACUGUAGUAACAACACCAAGAAAACCCUACUCUCCUAAACGUUAACCUUACACCAGAACAUUUAUGGAAAGAUUAAAAGGGAAAGAAGGAACUCGGCAAAUUUUGACCCCGCCUGUUUACCAAAAACACCGCCUCUUGCUUCAACAUAAGAGGUCUAGCCCUGCCCAGUGAUACUAUUUAACGGCCGCGGUACCCUAACCGUGCGAAGGUAGCAUAAUCACUUGUUCUUUAAAUGGGGACUCGUAUCAACGGCAUCACGAGGGUUGUACUGUCUCCUUUCCCCAAUCAGUGAAACUGAUCUCUCCGUGAAGAAGCGGAGAUAAAACUAUAAGACGAGAAGACCCCAUGGAGCUUUAAACCCAGCAACUACCUCUGUUUAAACACACCCGCAUAAGCAACAGAACCCUAUUUGUCUGGUUUUAGGUUGGGGUGACCGCGGAGUAUAACAUAGCCUCCACGAUGAAUGGGCUAACCCCCUAAUCCAAGAGUCACACCUCUAAGAAUUAGCAAUCUAACAUAAACUGAUCCGACUAUCGAUCAACGAACCAAGUUACCCUGGGGAUAACAGCGCAAUCCACUUUAAGAGCUCCUAUCGACAAGUGGGUUUACGACCUCGAUGUUGGAUCAGGGUAUCCUAGUGGUGCAGCAGCUACUGACGGUUCGUUUGUUCAACGAUUAAAACCCUACGUGAUCUGAGUUCAGACCGGAGUAAUCCAGGUCGGUUUCUAUCUAUAAAGAGUUUCUCCUAGUACGAAAGGAUCGGAAAAACAUGGCCAAUACACAAACAAGCCAUCGUCUAACACCAAUGAACCCAACUUAAUUGGCUAAGACCUAACAAUCAACCCCAAAACAGGGUUU
Molecule: ribosomal RNA, 1586 nt
Filed under: Aglyptodactylus madagascariensis (Madagascar jumping frog)
Lineage: Eukaryota; Metazoa; Chordata; Amphibia; Anura; Mantellidae
Description: 16S rRNA
Rfam family: Bacterial large subunit ribosomal RNA
Source: RNAcentral